UAAUGGAACUUUCUCGGAUCCCUCCGCCGAGCCCUCUCCCCUGGGUGGGCGUACGGACACGCGGUCCAGUCAUGCGACCUGCCACGAGCACACCUCCUCACCUUAAACUCGUACAUACGGAAAUGGUCGCACGAGAAUGCAUCGAUGAUGUGUACGUCGGAGUCGUCGCUAAGGGUGUCGAGCUCCAGAUCGUUCGAGGGGAGGUAACGGCGGAGCGCCGCAAGGUAUUCGACGGGACAAGGGCUGCAGGGUGCAUUGCAGUUAAAGCCGACGGCCGGAAAGUUAUCCGCCGAAUCAUUUAACGUUUCCCAGUCGGGGAUAUUGACGGUGG
This 331-nucleotide long non-coding RNA is filed under the name Gossypium barbadense (sea-island cotton). RNAcentral's name for it is "long non-coding RNA (GBAR_LNC017519)". Lineage: Eukaryota; Viridiplantae; Streptophyta; Magnoliopsida; Malvales; Malvaceae. The record is from RNAcentral.